UCACCAUCUAAAACCUAAAGGGCAAGCAGCCGCACUUCUCAUCUCCUUCAUCUUUCCUCUUCCAAACAAGAACCCUUUUUUCCACAGCCAUGGCAGACCAUUACCACACUAUUUUGGUGCAAAUUUUGUUUCUUUCUACCUUUGUCUGAGCGUAUGUUAAUGUCUCUGUCUCGUUUCGUGUUUGGAUAGUACGUUAAAUCUCGAAGCUCAGUGGAGGUCUCACUAUUUCGGGAAGAUCUGAAAAUAUCGUGUUAAGCAUGCUCCUUUGGUUGAAAAUCGAAUCAGGAUUGGAAAGUUUAAACUCAAUCUUCUUUAUGAUUUUUAUCUUUCACCAUUUUAGUACAAGAGCUUUAUUUGAUUUUUGUCUUCUUCCAUCUUUUUCUGAUCUUGCUACUGGCGAAUCUUUACAAAUCUCAAACGUUCAGAUUUUUGAACUGGCUUUUGACCUAGAUAAUUCAAGAUCCCGCCCAAAUUGAAGAUUAGAUUUUUUUGGCUUACACCUAUAAAUAGCGUCUUAAGAGCUCAGCCGCAGGAGAGAGUCACUGGGUCUCAAUCCAAAAGAAAAACAACGGAAAUAAAGCCACAUAUCAUUCUAAACUGCUAUAUUUUAUCUUUCUGUUUGAACUUUGUCUAAUCUAAGUGAUUUCGGGUUCGUUCGUGUUCGAGCGUAAAAUCCAAGACCUCGACGCCCCAUUCACUGCACCAACAAAAGGCUGUUAAAAAGGGUCGAGAUCCAACACCAAGUAAGGUACAUUUGCACGUACAUACACACUGUCAUGAUGGAAAAUCUUUUGUUGGUGAGCGAGCCCGAAUCGGCAUGAAAAAUAUCAAGAAAUACUACAAAAUCAGACACAGACUCAAUCUGAAGUUGAUCAAUGUCAAGCCUAUUACGAAGCUGCAUGAGGGGUAAAGAAAAGAAGAAUAUAUGGUCUUGGAUCUCAAGCACAAAUAUAUUACCGGCUGAAUCUUCGUCCCUCUUCUGCUUCUGAUGCUACAUCCUCAGUACCACCUCCGAAUGCUCAACUAGCAGUGACUGGAAAUUUGGAUGAGUUAGUGACACGAUUAAUUCCUGCACUGACUGAUAGCAUCAUUCCUGCACUUACUGAUCGCUUGCUUCCUAUAAUUAUUGAGCGAGUACGUGGAUUGAGUCUUUCUGUCUCUUCUCAGACAGACACUCCUAAUGACCAUCUAUCAUUUAUGGCACCUAUAGUUCCAGCUCCAGUUACUGCCAACAUUGAUCAAGUUCAUGCAUUGGUUUCUGGUGAUGAUCGUGGCUCUCCAGUCUCUCAUUAGUUAGUUUUGUUGUUUGGACUUUAUGGUUGUUGCAUAUGAUUUUGGAUUUUUGGUUUUGGAUAUCGUUGUGGAUGCUUUGAACUUGAUUUGCAUUCUACUAUGUAUUUUGGACCUUGUAGAAUAUUAGUUUUUGUGAAUUAAGUUAUUAUAUGAGUC
Lycium barbarum (goji berry) is the source of this 1449-nucleotide long non-coding RNA. RefSeq lists it as uncharacterized. The record is from RefSeq and is a predicted model, not a curated record. Lineage: Eukaryota; Viridiplantae; Streptophyta; Magnoliopsida; Solanales; Solanaceae. The transcript is spliced from 3 exons.